Balaenoptera musculus (blue whale) is the source of this 426-nucleotide long non-coding RNA. RefSeq lists it as uncharacterized. Lineage: Eukaryota; Metazoa; Chordata; Mammalia; Artiodactyla; Balaenopteridae. The transcript is spliced from 3 exons. The record is from RefSeq and is a predicted model, not a curated record.
GAAAGAGAUGUGAUGACACAGAAAUGCUGUGUUGCUGCUUUUGAAGAUGGAGGAAGGGGCCACAAAGGCAUGUGGGCGGCCUCUAGAAGCUGGAAAAGUCAAGGAAACAGAUUCUCCCCCAGAACCUCCAAAAGGAACAUGGCCCAGCUGACCGCUUGAUUUUAGACCCAUGUUGGACUUCAAACCAACAGAACAGGAGCAUCAGUCAGGUGGAUUCUGCCAGGACUGGCCUGGUGGCUCAGAGGAAAACUGAGGCCUGGACAGUGGAGGAAUGGGGCCCUGGGCCAAAUUGUCGUAUGCGGUCAUGUCACUUGGCUGGGGCCUGAGGAAUCCCUGGGGAGCCGGCUGCUGGCGGCUCUCAGCUCUACUGAAUGGACGGGAUCUUUGCAGAUACGCCCAGUGUUGCCAUGGCAGCCCUGCAAUUAC